GAGGGGAGAGCAACCAACAAGAACUGCUAACUCUUGCAUCUGAGUGUAAAAUCUCAGUCCCCUUA
Molecule: transfer RNA, 65 nt
Filed under: Elanus caeruleus
Lineage: Eukaryota; Metazoa; Chordata; Aves; Accipitriformes; Accipitridae
Description: tRNA-Ser
Source: RNAcentral